AUAAAUCUUUUCAAAGGUUCUUAUCAGUUUAAUAUCUGAUAUGUCCCUGAAAACGGGGACUUCAUAUUAAACCCAUUUUUGCACUCGGGAGCUGUAAUGGGAGCUUGCUCCAUUGACUCCACGCAUUAGCCCAGUAUUGCAGUGCCUCUGGGAGUAGUGCACCUCCU
Molecule: small nuclear RNA, 167 nt
Gene: U2
Rfam family: U2 spliceosomal RNA
About the family: U2 is a small nuclear RNA (snRNA) component of the spliceosome (involved in pre-mRNA splicing). Complementary binding between U2 snRNA (in an area lying towards the 5' end but 3' to hairpin I) and the branchpoint sequence (BPS) of the intron results the bulging out of an unpaired adenosine, on the BPS, which initiates a nucleophilic attack at the intronic 5' splice site, thus starting the first of two transesterification reactions that mediate splicing.
Source: Ensembl